GUGCUCGCUUUGGCAGCACAUAUAUAAAAUGGGAUCGAACAGAGAAGAUUAGCAUGGCCCCUGCGAAAGGA
RNAcentral lists this small nuclear RNA (71 nucleotides) under Oncorhynchus kisutch (coho salmon). The record is from RNAcentral. Lineage: Eukaryota; Metazoa; Chordata; Actinopteri; Salmoniformes; Salmonidae.